RNAcentral lists this ribosomal RNA (372 nucleotides) under uncultured delta proteobacterium. RNAcentral describes it as "bacterial SSU rRNA". It matches the Rfam family "Bacterial small subunit ribosomal RNA", at positions 521 to 896 of the family's 1533-position model. The record is from RNAcentral. Lineage: Bacteria; Deltaproteobacteria.
UAAUACGUAAGUGGCAAACGUUGUCCGGAAUCACUGGGCGUAAAGAACACGUAGGCGGCCGGGUAAGUCUGAGGUGAAAUCCAGGGGCUCAACCCCUGAACGGCCUUGGAAACUGCUCGGCUAGAGGUCCGGAGGGGAAAGUGGAAUUCCGGGUGUAGCGGUGAAAUGCGCAGAUAUCCGGGAGAACACCGAUGGCGAAGGCAGCUUUCUGGCCGGAUUCUGACGCUGAGGUGUGAAAGCCAGGGUAGCGAACGGGAUUAGAUACCCCGGUAGUCCUGGCCCUAAACUAUGAGUACUAGGUAUUGGGUCUCAGAUUCAGUGCCGACGCAAACGCAUUAAGUACUCCGCCUGGGGACUACGACCGCAAGGUUG